AACGAACGCUGGCGGCAUGCCUAACACAUGCAAGUCGAACGAGACCUUCGGGUCUAGUGGCGCACGGGUGCGUAACGCGUGGGAACCUGCCCUUAGGUUCGGAAUAACUCCCCGAAAGGGGUGCUAAUACCGGAUAAUGUCUUCGGACCAAAGAUUUAUCGCCUUUGGAUGGGCCCGCGUUGGAUUAGCUAGUUGGUAGGGUAAAAGCCUACCAAGGCGACGAUCCAUAGCUGGUCUGAGAGGAUGAUCAGCCACACUGGGACUGAGACACGGCCCAGACUCCUACGGGAGGCAGCAGUGGGGAAUAUUGGACAAUGGGCGAAAGCCUGAUCCAGCAAUGCCGCGUGAGUGAUGAAGGCCUUAGGGUUGUAAAGCUCUUUUACCCGGGAUGAAAUGACAGUACCGGGAGAAUAAGCUCCGGCUAACUCCGUG
RNAcentral lists this ribosomal RNA (432 nucleotides) under uncultured bacterium. Its description in RNAcentral is "partial 16S ribosomal RNA". It matches the Rfam family "Bacterial small subunit ribosomal RNA", at positions 29 to 507 of the family's 1533-position model. The record is from RNAcentral.